Molecule: ribosomal RNA, 1439 nt
Filed under: Staphylococcus edaphicus
Lineage: Bacteria; Bacillati; Bacillota; Bacilli; Caryophanales; Staphylococcaceae
Description: bacterial SSU rRNA
Rfam family: Bacterial small subunit ribosomal RNA
Source: RNAcentral
CGCUGCUAUACUGCAGUCGAGCGAACAGAUAAGGAGCUUGCUCCUUUGACGUUAGCGGCGGACGGGUGAGUAACACGUGGGUAACCUACCUAUAAGACUGGGAUAACUUCGGGAAACCGGAGCUAAUACCGGAUAACAUUUGGAACCGCAUGGUUCUAAAGUGAAAGAUGGUUUUGCUAUCACUUAUAGAUGGACCCGCGCCGUAUUAGCUAGUUGGUAAGGUAACGGCUUACCAAGGCGACGAUACGUAGCCGACCUGAGAGGGUGAUCGGCCACACUGGAACUGAGACACGGUCCAGACUCCUACGGGAGGCAGCAGUAGGGAAUCUUCCGCAAUGGGCGAAAGCCUGACGGAGCAACGCCGCGUGAGUGAUGAAGGGUUUCGGCUCGUAAAACUCUGUUAUUAGGGAAGAACAAACGUGUAAGUAACUGUGCACGUCUUGACGGUACCUAAUCAGAAAGCCACGGCUAACUACGUGCCAGCAGCCGCGGUAAUACGUAGGUGGCAAGCGUUAUCCGGAAUUAUUGGGCGUAAAGCGCGCGUAGGCGGUUUCUUAAGUCUGAUGUGAAAGCCCACGGCUCAACCGUGGAGGGUCAUUGGAAACUGGGAAACUUGAGUGCAGAAGAGGAAAGUGGAAUUCCAUGUGUAGCGGUGAAAUGCGCAGAGAUAUGGAGGAACACCAGUGGCGAAGGCGACUUUCUGGUCUGUAACUGACGCUGAUGUGCGAAAGCGUGGGGAUCAAACAGGAUUAGAUACCCUGGUAGUCCACGCCGUAAACGAUGAGUGCUAAGUGUUAGGGGGUUUCCGCCCCUUAGUGCUGCAGCUAACGCAUUAAGCACUCCGCCUGGGGAGUACGACCGCAAGGUUGAAACUCAAAGGAAUUGACGGGGACCCGCACAAGCGGUGGAGCAUGUGGUUUAAUUCGAAGCAACGCGAAGAACCUUACCAAAUCUUGACAUCCUUUGAAAACUCUAGAGAUAGAGCCUUCCCCUUCGGGGGACAAAGUGACAGGUGGUGCAUGGUUGUCGUCAGCUCGUGUCGUGAGAUGUUGGGUUAAGUCCCGCAACGAGCGCAACCCUUAAGCUUAGUUGCCAUCAUUAAGUUGGGCACUCUAGGUUGACUGCCGGUGACAAACCGGAGGAAGGUGGGGAUGACGUCAAAUCAUCAUGCCCCUUAUGAUUUGGGCUACACACGUGCUACAAUGGACAAUACAAAGGGCAGCUAAACCGCGAGGUCAUGCAAAUCCCAUAAAGUUGUUCUCAGUUCGGAUUGUAGUCUGCAACUCGACUACAUGAAGCUGGAAUCGCUAGUAAUCGUAGAUCAGCAUGCUACGGUGAAUACGUUCCCGGGUCUUGUACACACCGCCCGUCACACCACGAGAGUUUGUAACACCCGAAGCCGGUGGAGUAACCAUUUAUGGAGCUAGCCGUCGAAGGUA